Molecule: ribosomal RNA, 487 nt
Filed under: uncultured bacterium
Lineage: Bacteria
Description: bacterial SSU rRNA
Rfam family: Bacterial small subunit ribosomal RNA
Source: RNAcentral
UAGGCCUAACACAUGCAAGUCGAGCGGCAGCGCGGGGGCAACCCUGGCGGCGAGCGGCGGACGGGUGAGGAAUGCAUCGGAAUCUGCCUCGUUGUGGGGGAUAACCUCGGGAAACCGGGACUAAUACCGCAUACGACCGAGAGGUGAAAGUGGGGGACCGCAAGGCCUCACGCGACGAGAUGAGCCGAUGCCGGAUUAGCUAGUUGGCGGGGUAAAGGCCCACCAAGGCGACGAUCCGUAGCUGGUCUGAGAGGAUGAUCAGCCACACUGGAACUGAGACACGGUCCAGACUCCUACGGGAGGCAGCAGUGGGGAAUAUUGGACAAUGGGCGCAAGCCUGAUCCAGCCAUGCCGCGUGUGUGAAGAAGGCCUUCGGGUUGUAAAGCACUUUUGUUGGGGAAGAAAACCUGUUGGUUAAUACCUGGCAGGGAUGACGGUACCCAAAGAAUAAGCACCGGCUAACUUCGUGCCAGCAGCCGCGGUAAAU